AUUAGGGUGGCAUAGCUCGGUUAUUGCUGUAGGCCUAAAACCUCCUGUCAGAAGUUCAACUCUUCUCCCUAACA
This 74-nucleotide transfer RNA is filed under the name Chamaeleo monachus (monarch chameleon). Its description in RNAcentral is "tRNA-Leu". It matches the Rfam family "tRNA". From Rfam's summary of the family: Transfer RNA (tRNA) molecules are approximately 80 nucleotides in length. Lineage: Eukaryota; Metazoa; Chordata; Lepidosauria; Squamata; Chamaeleonidae. The record is from RNAcentral.